This 253-nucleotide ribosomal RNA is filed under the name uncultured bacterium. RNAcentral's name for it is "partial 16S ribosomal RNA". It matches the Rfam family "Bacterial small subunit ribosomal RNA", at positions 524 to 776 of the family's 1533-position model. The record is from RNAcentral.
GACAGAGGGUGCAAGCGUUGUUCGGAAUUAUUGGGCGUAAAGGGCGCGUAGGUGGCCUUGUAAGUCGGAUGUGAAAGCCCAGGGCUUAACCCUGGAAGUGCAUCUGAUACUGCUUGGCUUGAGUCCUGGAGAGGGUGGUGGAAUUCCUGGUGUAGAGGUGAAAUUCGUAGAUAUCAGGAGGAACACCGGUGGCGAAGGCGACCACCUGGACAGAGACUGACACUGAGGCGCGAAAGCGUGGGGAGCAAACAGG